UACGUAGGGUGCGAGCGUUGUCCGGAAUUAUUGGGCGUAAAGAGCGCGUAGGCGGUCUGUUAAGUGUAGAGUGAAAUCUCCAGGGCUCAACCCGGAAACUGCUCUGCAUACUGGCAGACUGGAGUGAUGCAGAGGUUUGUGGAAUUCCUGGUGUAGCGGUGGAAUGCGCAGAUAUCAGGAGGAACACCAACGGCGAAGGCAGCUCGCUAGGACGGUACUGACGCUAAGGCGCGAAAGCGUGGGGAGCGAACAGG
Molecule: ribosomal RNA, 254 nt
Filed under: uncultured bacterium
Lineage: Bacteria
Description: partial 16S ribosomal RNA
Rfam family: Bacterial small subunit ribosomal RNA
Source: RNAcentral